CUCUUAUUUGAAUUGCUCUGAGCAGAGAUUUGGACAUUUGUGGUUUUGUUUUGUGGGAUGAUCUUAAACUUUAAUCGUGACAUUUAUGCUCCCACUACAUUUUUUUUUAAUGGUGGUAAAAUGGGUAUAAUGGAAAAUUGACCAUGUUAGCCAUUUCCGAGUGUGUGGUUAGGUGGCAGUAAACACAUUCACACUGUGGUGCAGCUAUCGCCUCCAGAAAUGUUCCUUUUCCCAAACCGAAGGCCUGCCCAUUAAACAUGAACUCCCCGUUCCUCCCUCCUCCAGCCCAGACUGAGCACCACUCUCUGUGAAUUGGACCACUCGAGGGCCCAGGCGAGUCAAUCCUGUGCAUCUGGCUGGAUUCACUCAGCACAGUGACUCAUCCACGUUGGGGGACAGCAGUUUCAUUCCCCUCGUGGCCAAACAGCCUCCCAUUGUCUGCAGGGACCACGUUUUGGGUACACACCAUCCGCCGGUGGACUAAGAUGAGUCUAUGAGGAGAAGGCACGGACAGGUGGACGACUCUAUUUCACUCCUUGCCAGCUGCAUGACCUUGAACAAGCCACUUAAUCUGUCAGGGGGAGGACCACUGCUGCCUGGACAAGUCCCUGAGAUCGCAGUUAGGGAGCUGGUUCAGUGGGACUGUUGAUCAGCCACCAGCCCAGCCCUGCCUAAGAGACUUGUGAGUCAAGGAAAGAACAGUCACUGUACUCUAUUGCCCAGUCACUGGGUCGAUGAGUGAGAAAACCCUGAUGAAAGGCUAUUGAGUCCCUGGAUCCAGCCUGACCUGAAGCUAGAUCCUGAAUGCUAAGACAAUA
Molecule: long non-coding RNA, 818 nt
Organism: Canis lupus familiaris (dog)
Lineage: Eukaryota; Metazoa; Chordata; Mammalia; Carnivora; Canidae
Exons: 3
Source: RefSeq, a predicted model, not a curated record